Molecule: unclassified non-coding RNA, 238 nt
Filed under: Rhizophagus sp. (in: glomeromycetes)
Lineage: Eukaryota; Fungi; Glomeromycota; Glomeromycetes; Glomerales; Glomeraceae
Description: partial contains 5.8S ribosomal RNA and internal transcribed spacer 2
Rfam family: 5.8S ribosomal RNA (bases 1-65)
Source: RNAcentral
GUGAAUCAUCGAAUUUUUGAACGCAAAUUGCACUCUCUUCGGAGAGUAUGCCUGUUUGAGGGUCAGUAUUAACAAAAAAUCGGUUUGGUUUCAAGUUGUGACGGUUCCGGAGUUUGGGCUUAUCUUAACUUUUUUGGUUAAGGGUCUUAAAAUUGACCUUUUUUUCUCAUUUUUAGACUGACAUAAAUUUUUUUUUAUUCUUCUAUUCUUAAUUCCAAAAUCUUAGUAUGUGCUAUCA